CUGGAGUCUGCAACCCGACUCCACGAAGUUGGAUUCGCUAGUAAUCGCGCAUCAGCCGUGGCGCGGUGAAUACGUUCCCGGGCCUUGUACACACCGCCCGUCAAGCCAUGGGAGCCGGGGGCGCCUGAAGUCCGGGACCGCGAGGACCGGCCUAGGGCGAAACUGGUGGCUGGGGCUAAGUCGUAACAAGGUAGC
RNAcentral lists this ribosomal RNA (195 nucleotides) under uncultured bacterium. RNAcentral's name for it is "partial 16S ribosomal RNA". It matches the Rfam family "Bacterial small subunit ribosomal RNA", at positions 1298 to 1500 of the family's 1533-position model. The record is from RNAcentral.